This 580-nucleotide ribosomal RNA is filed under the name Staphylococcus aureus. Its description in RNAcentral is "partial 23S ribosomal RNA". It matches the Rfam family "Bacterial large subunit ribosomal RNA", at positions 1 to 575 of the family's 2925-position model. The record is from RNAcentral. Lineage: Bacteria; Bacillati; Bacillota; Bacilli; Caryophanales; Staphylococcaceae.
GAUUAAGUUAUUAAGGGCGCACGGUGGAUGCCUUGGCACUAGAAGCCGAUGAAGGACGUUACUAACGACGAUAUGCUUUGGGGAGCUGUAAGUAAGCUUUGAUCCAGAGAUUUCCGAAUGGGGAAACCCAGCAUGAGUUAUGUCAUGUUAUCGAUAUGUGAAUACAUAGCAUAUCAGAAGGCACACCCGGAGAACUGAAACAUCUUAGUACCCGGAGGAAGAGAAAGAAAAUUCGAUUCCCUUAGUAGCGGCGAGCGAAACGGGAAGAGCCCAAACCAACAAGCUUGCUUGUUGGGGUUGUAGGACACUCUAUACGGAGUUACAAAGGACGACAUUAGACGAAUCAUCUGGAAAGAUGAAUCAAAGAAGGUAAUAAUCCUGUAGUCGAAAAUGUUGUCUCUCUUGAGUGGAUCCUGAGUACGACGGAGCACGUGAAAUUCCGUCGGAAUCUGGGAGGACCAUCUCCUAAGGCUAAAUACUCUCUAGUGACCGAUAGUGAACCAGUACCGUGAGGGAAAGGUGAAAAGCACCCCGGAAGGGGAGUGAAAUAGAACCUGAAACCGUGUGCUUACAAGUAGUC